AGUGAACGCUGGCGGUAGGCCUAACACAUGCAAGUCGAACGGCAGCACAGUAAGAGCUUGCUCUUACGGGUGGCGAGUGGCGGACGGGUGAGGAAUACAUCGGACUCUACUUUUUCGUGGGUGAUAACGUAGGGAAACUUACGCUAAUACCGCAUACGACCUACGGGAGAAAGCAGGGGUUCUUCGGACCUUGCGCGAUUGAAUGAGCCGAUGUCGGAUUAGCUAGUUGGCGGGGUAAAGGCCCACCAAGGCGACGAUCCGUAGCUGGUCUGAGAGGAUGAGCAGCCACCCUGGAACUGAGACACGGUCCAGACUCCUACGGGAGGCAGCAGUAGGGAAUAUUGGACAAUGGGCGCAAGCCUGAUCAAGCCAGACCGCGUGGGUGAUGAAGGCCUUCGGGUUGUAAAGCCCUUUUGUUGGGAAAGAAAAGCAGCAGGUUAAUACACCGCUGUCCUGACGGUACCCAAAGAAUAAGCAACGGCUAACUUCGUG
RNAcentral lists this ribosomal RNA (492 nucleotides) under uncultured bacterium. Its description in RNAcentral is "partial 16S ribosomal RNA". It matches the Rfam family "Bacterial small subunit ribosomal RNA", at positions 29 to 507 of the family's 1533-position model. The record is from RNAcentral.